CAGUAGGUGGACUUAACACUACGAUUACUAUGAGGCAUCAGUGUAUUACAGCUAUGAAAGAAUAUGAGAAGAAGUCUCUGGAGGAACUCCGUUUAGAAGACUACCAGGCAAACAGGAAAGGGCCUGUAACGAAAACAACAGGAGCAGAUGUGGGCUUGUUUGGACCUUCUGCUACAAGAUCAGCUACAGGGCUUUUUGGCACUUCUACAGCUACCAAAGGCUUUCCACAUGGACAGAGUAAAGCAGCUUUUGGAACCAGUAAAGCAGGCUUUGGAUCAGGAACCACAGGGACUCCUUUCCACCAGCACUCUCAAACUACAAGCCUCUUAAGCAAAC
This is a long non-coding RNA of Pogoniulus pusillus (Red-fronted tinkerbird), 336 nucleotides long. RefSeq lists it as uncharacterized. The transcript has 3 exons. Lineage: Eukaryota; Metazoa; Chordata; Aves; Piciformes; Lybiidae. The record is from RefSeq and is a predicted model, not a curated record.